Long non-coding RNA from Phyllopteryx taeniolatus (common seadragon), 2640 nucleotides. RefSeq lists it as uncharacterized. The transcript is spliced from 5 exons. The record is from RefSeq and is a predicted model, not a curated record. NCBI's taxonomy places the organism in Eukaryota, Metazoa, Chordata, Actinopteri, Syngnathiformes, Syngnathidae.
AGUCCCUCCUUUCGGACUGGAAGAUGAGACACUUAGGACGUCUGAACCACGUUGCUCUUUUCCCCAACGCAACAUGAUUUUUUUGGGGCCAAUUCCAUGACCAGGCCGGGACGUAUGUAUAUGUAACGCUGAGUAAUGCUAAUUGGCUUGUAAUAUUAGUCGUAGUAGUGGUAGGACGUACUGGGGUCACUGUAAAGGCGUUGGUUAGCUGUGUGACCUGUGUAGCGUGUAGCUUAGCAGCUCACGUGGUGACCACGUGGGAGACAGACAAAGCUCGUUUUCGUUAUUUUUAUUUUUUAUAGCAGGUUAGGGCAGACUAAAUGAAGUAUGUCACAUUCAUUAGCAUGACAUAGCGUUUUAGUGGAGUAAUUUUCCCCAUCUAUUAAUUUGUAUCUCAUACAUUGAGAAGUACUCAGUCAAGAACAGUAACGAUGUAUAUUUUUGUGUGUAAUAAAAUAUAAAAAAAAUAACUGGAAAAAUAUAUUUUAUAAUUUUAAUUUUUUUUAUUCCUGGUAGCACUUUUAAAAAUAUUAAUUAAUAGUAGUAAUUAAACUGUAUGAAUUGUCUUUUUAUUGUGAUUUUCUUAUUUUCAAGAUGAAUAUGUAAUCAUCCAUCCAUUUUCUGUACCGCUUUAUCCUCACAAUGGUCGUGGGCGUGUUGGAACGUAUCCCAGUUAUCUUAGGGGGAGAGGCGGGGUACACCCUGAACUGGUCGCCAGCCAAUCACAGGGGCACAUAUAAACAAACAACCAUUCUCGCAUACAUUCACAUCUAAGGGCAAUUGAGAGUUUCCAAUCAACCUACCACGCAUGUUUUUGGGAUGUUGGAGGAAACCGGAGUACCUGGAGAAAACCCACACCGGCACGGGGAGAACAUGCAAACUCCGCACAGACGGGACCGGGAUUUGAACCCCGAUCCUCAGAACUGUGAGGCAGAUGUGCUAACCAGUCGGCCGUCCAAAUGUAUUUAUUUAAAGUUUGAAUAUUAAAAUAGUAAAAUAUCCAUCCACCCAUUGAACUGGAAUUAACGCACUAAGUCAAUGAUGUCCUCUUGAACACAAUGCGAUUGACUUUCGGUCCAGUUUGUGACUUUUUGAAGGGUGCCAUCUAUUGACUUGCAUCUCCUCCCUUGAGGUGAAGUUAUUAAUCAUCCGGGUAGACAGGUGAAAGUGUCUAUAUUUGUAGUUGGACAAAGGGGAUGUGGACUCUCAGCCAUUAUUUAUCCGCUCCUUGCGACUAGAGGACGCAAGGUCGUGGCAGAGGUUGUGACCCGCUGUUGAACCCUCGGCCUCGGACGCGCCACGCCGCUUUUGCUCCCAAGCUGCGUCGCGGCGUCGCACUCUGACCUUUGGGUGAUCCGUCAGCGGUACUGGCGAUCCCGUCGGUACCCGCUCUGCUAAUCAAUAGAUCUCACUUGGAGGGAUCAGGUGACUUAACUAUGAUUUUUCUUCUUUGAAUUUUUAUUUACAGUGGCACCGAUGAAGAGUGGACAUUCUACCAGCGGGCCAGCACAGUUUUAAAGCAAGAACAAGCAACCUUCAGCGCUGAUGACAAGAUAAGCAGCAAGACAGGCGUGAAAUCUGAUCUUCGGCCAUCUCUGAUGAACGGCAGGAUUGACGGACUGUAAAUUGGAAGGCUUGCUCCAUCUUGUCUAUGGUAAACGGCGGUAUUAACAGACAAGGAAAGAAAGCCUACUCUGGCUCAUCUUGCGUAAGUAUAUAGAGGGUUCCCUAAAAGUCACAAAACACGUCCUUUUUUUAAAAUUUCAGGUGUCAUUCAGACAGAUGUAAGACCAUCAGCAUUUGACAGCUCAAACUUUGUGGUUUUUGUAAGUAUAUCAUUCCUUUAUUCAUAGUUUGCCAAUUCACGUUGAAGCAGCAUUGCAAAACUGCUUUUGUUUUUCUGUCCUCAACUACAGUUCAGUGCCAGUUUGAGAAGCUUUAUGGCCGUCAAACGGCUGUGUAGUACAAAUUAGGUUAUCCAUGGCAAGUUUCUAGAAACACGAUUUCUUCUUGACAAACUAUGCAGUAGUAGGCCUGCUGCUACUACCACUGAUGAAAAUACCAAUUUCCUAGAGCAGGUGUUCACGCAAAGUUAGUUAGGCUGCACUAGAACUCGGCAUCCACAAAAGCUCAAUUCAUCGCAUGCUUCGGAGAGUGAUAAUGCUUUAUCCAUAUCGACUUCAGGUUAUUGGGUAUCAUCUUUUGUUUGAAGCCUUUGAACAACCGGAAGUCCAUACAGGUAAAUACAUUUUUUUUAAAAGCAUCGGCUGAAUCGAGCAUUUGUUGAUGCUGAGUUCCAGUGCCCCACUCUGGAUUGACUUUCCCAGGCUUUGCACAAACGCCUGCUCUAGCAGUUCGGUGUUUUUUUGUUUUGUCCCCCCCGGACAGUCAGAAAAACCUAUUGUCGGGUACCAAUUGGCGAUCCACGGGCAAAGGAAUGAUAUGCUUAUAAAAACUGAAAAGUGUAAGCUGCCAUAUGCUGUUGCUUUCACGUCUGUCCGAAUGAUACCUGAAACAAAAUAGAAAGUGUAGUGACAUUUGGGACUAACUGUUCUGUAAGGUGUUAAGUAAAAAUGGUGUCAAACUGUCACAUGCUGUCCUGAACUGUAAUUUUGUGAAAUAAAAAACUACAAAAUAUCA